This 465-nucleotide ribosomal RNA is filed under the name uncultured bacterium. Its description in RNAcentral is "partial 16S ribosomal RNA". It matches the Rfam family "Bacterial small subunit ribosomal RNA", at positions 339 to 795 of the family's 1533-position model. The record is from RNAcentral.
CUACGGGCCGCAGCAGUGAGGAAUUUUGCGCAAUGGGGGCAACCCUGACGCGGCAACGCCGCGUGAGUGAAGAAGGCCUUUGGGUCGUAAAGCUCUGUCAACAGGGAAGAAGUUAUAAUUAUUUAAUAGAUAGUUGUAUUGACGGUACCUGUGGAGGAAGCGCCGGCUAACUCCGUGCCAGCAGCCGCGGUAACACGGGGGGCGCAAGCGUUAUUCGGAAUUAUUGGGCGUAAAGGGCGCGCAGGCGGUCUUGUCCGUCAGGUGUGAAAGCUCGGGGCUCAACCCCGGAAGUGCACUUGAAACAGCAAGACUUGAAUACGGGAGAGGAGAGAGGAAUUCCUGGUGUAGAGGUGAAAUUCGUAGAUAUCAGGAGGAACACCGAUGGCGAAGGCAUCUCUCUGGACCGAUAUUGACGCUGAGGCGCGAAGGCGUGGGUAGCGAACGGGAUUAGAUACCCGAGUAGUC